Engraulis encrasicolus (European anchovy) is the source of this 439-nucleotide long non-coding RNA. RefSeq lists it as uncharacterized. NCBI's taxonomy places the organism in Eukaryota, Metazoa, Chordata, Actinopteri, Clupeiformes, Engraulidae. The record is from RefSeq and is a predicted model, not a curated record. The transcript is spliced from 5 exons.
GUUUUAUCAUGGAAAACCCACGUGUAUCUGGAAUAUGUAUUAUGUCUUUAGCAACGUCUUGUGGUAAAAAAGUACCCUACGGAACACAUUACUGAUGGCAACAGACAAACCUUUUGGGUGUCCACUGGUAUGUUUCAACAAGCUUUCAUCAUAAACUUCCCUGGCACAACGGGAAUAUCAGAUAAUCUCUUUGCAAAGCUACAAAGUUAAAGGUCUCAAAAUAGAGAGAUGUGUUUCAAAAGAAAUUGAGCCAUUUGAAGCAGUAGCAGAGCAAGAACUAGAGCACACAGAGGACCAUCUUCAGACCAAUAAUAUCUCACUCAACACAAGUGCAACACUUUUACGCUUCAUCAUUGCGUCAGGCUAUGACCAAUUUGUUUCAGUCAAUGACCUAACCGUCAGGCCUAGCAGUUAAAUAAUGUUAUAUGUGUGUUCCGGA